UACGUAGGGGCUAGAGUUAUCCGGAAUUACUGGGCGUAAAGGGUGCGUAGGUGGUUUCUUAAGUCAGAGGUGAAAGGCUACGGCUCAACCGUAGUAAGCCUUUGAAACUGGGAAACUUGAGUGCAGGAGAGGAGAGUGGAAUUCCUAGUGUAGCGGUGAGAUGCGUAGAUAUUAGGAGGAACACCAGUUGCGAAGGCGGCUCUCUGGACUGUAACUGACACUGAGUCACGAAAGCGUGGGGAGCAAACAGGAUUAGAUACCCUGGUAGUCCCUGA
Molecule: ribosomal RNA, 275 nt
Filed under: uncultured prokaryote
Description: partial 16S ribosomal RNA
Rfam family: Bacterial small subunit ribosomal RNA
Source: RNAcentral